GAUGAACGCUGGCGGCGUGCUUAACACAUGCAAGUCGAACGAACCUUCGGGUUAGUGGCGGACGGGUGAGUAACGCGUGAGAAUCUGCCCUCAGGAGGGGGACAACAGCUGGAAACGGCUGCUAAUACCCCAUAUGCCGAGAGGUGAAAUGAAUUUCGCCUGAGGAUGAGCUCGCGUCUGAUUAGCUAGUUGGUGUAGGUAAUGGCUCACCAAGGCAUCGAUCAGUAGCUGGUCUGAGAGGAUGAUCAGCCACACUGGGACUGAGACACGGCCCAGACUCCUACGGGAGGCAGCAGUGGGGAAUUUUCCGCAAUGGGCGAAAGCCUGACGGAGCAACGCCGCGUGAGGGAUGAAGGCCUCUGGGCUGUAAACCUCUUUUAUCAAGGAAGAAGAUCUGACGGUACUUGAUGAAUAAGCCACGGCUAAUUCCGUG
Molecule: ribosomal RNA, 433 nt
Filed under: uncultured bacterium
Lineage: Bacteria
Description: bacterial SSU rRNA
Rfam family: Bacterial small subunit ribosomal RNA
Source: RNAcentral